Molecule: transfer RNA, 62 nt
Filed under: Melecta chinensis
Lineage: Eukaryota; Metazoa; Arthropoda; Insecta; Hymenoptera; Apidae
Description: tRNA-Gly
Source: RNAcentral
UAUAUAUAUAGUAUAAUAAAUACAUUUAAUUUCCAAUUAAAAAUUUUAAUAAUUUAAUAUAU